Molecule: long non-coding RNA, 1191 nt
Filed under: Marmota monax (woodchuck)
Lineage: Eukaryota; Metazoa; Chordata; Mammalia; Rodentia; Sciuridae
Source: RNAcentral
GCAGAAGCUAACUUUGAACUUGUGCUUUUCCUGCCUCAGCCUCUGAAGCCACUGGGAUUACAGAUGUGUGCCACUGCACCUGGUCAAUAAUGUCAAAUUCUUGAAGCUGUCCCAUUUGGGGGACUUUGGAGAUAGGAGAAGAAUGAAAAAGUCCAUGAAGAAUCAAAGACAGGCAUCAGAAGUCCAGGAGAACAUGGAAAGCAUAAGUCUUUAUUUUGCUACCAUGUCAGUGUCUACCGGAUCUUCCUUAAACUUAAGACUUGGAAAUAGUGAGGAGCACAGAGCCCAGAAACAACAAGCUGUCUACCUGUGUCAGUGCCAGGUCCACACGCCUGACAGCCAGUGUCCACAGUGUUUCCUAGAUGAUGAGCUGAAGAGGAACAGGUUUUGAGAAUGAGUGUCCUCACAAGUCACAUGCUGCAAAAAGGCAGAGUCAGAUGAUCCCCUGGAUUGGAGGUGCAAUGUCACUGUUGAAUUUGGAGGAGAGCUUUGAAUGGGUUCAUUGAGACAGAUGCCAGGAAGCAACACAUUAAGGGGCAGGUUUGGAAAACAGGUGAUCAGAAGAGACCACCGCACAGAGUAGAGACCACUAUCAAGGAACUUGAUGGUGAAUCAAAGGAAAGAAUGAGGCAGUGGUUUUAGGAGAAGAAAUGGGUCAAGGACAGGUUAGUUUUAAACAAACAGCUGAACCGUCAUGGGCCACGUGAAGGAGCCCCUGGGGAAGAGACAAGAGGGACAUGGGUUGUGGGGCCCACUGCAAAAGUGGGUUCCACAGGUGCGAGCUGACUCUGGGAAGGAGACCUACUCCACCUCAAGCAACGCAGGAGCAACAAUAGGUGGACGUGUAAGCUUAUGAGGAAGAUUCCGGAACACGGAGGCAUGAUUGGGAGAGCCGGCCCCUGCUCCCCUCUGUUCCUUUAAAGUUAAAUUGCCUGGUGGGAGAGAGAGCAGGGAGGCCAUCAAACCACUGAGCCAUGAGACUGGGGAUGGGCCAUGUCCUCUCCCAGAGGUGGGUGCCCCUGUGGCCUGGUAGGGCCACGUCCCUUCCCUGCUGGGACCCUGUGUGCAGCAGCCAGCUCUAGUGCACACUCCCUCUUCUGCUGUCAGUUUGCGCAGCAUCCCUGGGGCCUGCUGAGCCGGCCUCUGUCUUCAGCCACUCAGAAAGCCUUCUCGUCCUGUGCCCUGCCGGAG